UGGGAGAUCGUCUAAUGGUAGGACAGCGGACUCUGGCUCCGCUAAUAUAGGUUCGAAUCCUAUUCUCCCAG
RNAcentral lists this transfer RNA (71 nucleotides) under Candidatus Kerfeldbacteria bacterium RIFCSPLOWO2_01_FULL_48_11. Its description in RNAcentral is "tRNA-Gln". It matches the Rfam family "tRNA". Rfam says of the family: Transfer RNA (tRNA) molecules are approximately 80 nucleotides in length. Their secondary structure includes four short double-helical elements and three loops (D, anti-codon, and T loops). Lineage: Bacteria; Candidatus Kerfeldiibacteriota. The record is from RNAcentral.